GGCGAGAUGGCCGAGCGGUCUAAGGCGCCAGAAUCAGGUAAUUUCAUUGUCCCUCAUCUGGUCCGAAAGGGCAGGGGUUCGAAUCCCCUUCUCGUCA
Molecule: non-coding RNA, 97 nt
Organism: Lentinus tigrinus ALCF2SS1-7
Lineage: Eukaryota; Fungi; Basidiomycota; Agaricomycetes; Polyporales; Polyporaceae
Source: the annotation of a GenBank genome assembly